GAGAGUUAAGAGCAUCCCCAGC
This 22-nucleotide non-coding RNA is filed under the name Arabidopsis thaliana (thale cress). Lineage: Eukaryota; Viridiplantae; Streptophyta; Magnoliopsida; Brassicales; Brassicaceae. The record is from RNAcentral.